This 246-nucleotide ribosomal RNA is filed under the name uncultured bacterium. RNAcentral's name for it is "partial 16S ribosomal RNA". It matches the Rfam family "Bacterial small subunit ribosomal RNA", at positions 116 to 354 of the family's 1533-position model. The record is from RNAcentral.
CGUGGGUAACCUGCCCAGGAGACUGGGAUAACACCUGGAAACAGAUGCUAAUACCGGAUAACAACACUAGACGCAUGUCUAGAGUUUAAAAGAUGGUUCUGCUAUCACUCUUGGAUGGACCUGCGGUGCAUUAGCUAGUUGGUAAGGUAACGGCUUACCAAGGCAAUGAUGCAUAGCCUAGUUGAGAGACUGAUCGGCCACAUUGGGACUGAGACACGGUCCAAACUCCUACGGGAGGCAGCAGGC